RNAcentral lists this transfer RNA (73 nucleotides) under Stegodyphus mimosarum. It matches the Rfam family "tRNA". Rfam says of the family: Transfer RNA (tRNA) molecules are approximately 80 nucleotides in length. The record is from Rfam by way of RNAcentral. Lineage: Eukaryota; Metazoa; Arthropoda; Arachnida; Araneae; Eresidae.
GCCUUCGUGGUGUAGUGGUCAGCACGCUGGGCGCGUAUUCCAGAGGUCCGUGGUUCGAUUCCCGGCGAAGGCG